This is a long non-coding RNA of Cannabis sativa, 421 nucleotides long. RefSeq lists it as uncharacterized. Lineage: Eukaryota; Viridiplantae; Streptophyta; Magnoliopsida; Rosales; Cannabaceae. The record is from RefSeq and is a predicted model, not a curated record. The transcript has 3 exons.
CAAGUCUAUUUAAUUUCCAAUGCUUAUAUAAAGCCAGUACAAGAAGAGUUUAGAAUUGUUGACAAUCAAUUUGAAUGGAGCAUCAACACUUCUACAUCAAUUGAGGAAAUAACUGAAGAAAACUAAUGGAACUUUGAAGAUCUCUACAACUUGUAUUAUCUUGAUCAACUAGAUGCCUACAUUGAUACAAAAACUUCUGUUGAUAUUGUUGCAGUUGUAUUAAGUGCUGAUCCACACAAGGCCUGGACCUGCAAAUAUUCAAGAAUUCCUCCUUGUUGAUCAAAGCUUGCAACCAAAAAUUUUAACUAUGUGGGACGAACUAAUUGAGACCAUUGGAAAAGCAAUAUGUGAAAUUCUUCCACAAAAUCCUAUUAUAAUAGGAACACACCUGAAAAUUGUUUCACACAAUGGUUAGAUUUAU